Molecule: transfer RNA, 41 nt
Filed under: Felis silvestris lybica (Near Eastern wildcat)
Lineage: Eukaryota; Metazoa; Chordata; Mammalia; Carnivora; Felidae
Description: partial tRNA-Glu
Source: RNAcentral
AAUGAUAUGAAAAACCAUCGUUGUAUUUCAACUAUAAGAAC